CCCUUAGAUGUUCUGGGCCGCACCCGCGCUACACUGAAGGAGGCAGCGUGUACUCCUGGAUCGAAAGAUUUGGGUAACCCGCGAAUCUCCUUCGUGCUAGGGAUUGAGGUUUGCAAUUAUCCUUCAUGAACGAGGAAUUCCCAGUAAGUGCAAGUCAUAAGCUUGCGCUGACUACGUCCCUGCCCUUUGUACACACCGCCCGUCGCUACUACCGAUUGAAUGAUUUAGUGAGGACUUCGGACUGGGACCGAUGCGGCUUUCGGGCUGCGUCGGUAUUCUGGAAAGAUGUCCAAACUGUAUCAUUUAGAGGAAGUAAAANUCGUANCA
This 327-nucleotide ribosomal RNA is filed under the name uncultured eukaryote. Its description in RNAcentral is "partial 18S ribosomal RNA". It matches the Rfam family "Eukaryotic small subunit ribosomal RNA", at positions 1470 to 1796 of the family's 1831-position model. The record is from RNAcentral.